This 574-nucleotide unclassified non-coding RNA is filed under the name Hevea brasiliensis (rubber tree). The record is from RNAcentral. Lineage: Eukaryota; Viridiplantae; Streptophyta; Magnoliopsida; Malpighiales; Euphorbiaceae.
UUGCGCAAGCAUGAGUGGGCUCCAUAUCGGGAGGGUGUCACAUUAAAGGAAAAAGCUACAAACUUUCAGGGAACACCUGUUGACGUGGGUUUGAGUAAGAAUGUUGUAAUUGAUCAAGUUCUUGAACCUGGCAUUAGAGUAACUGUGUUAAUGGGAACCAACCGCAAUUUGGAUGCUGAUUUACCUCGCCAGGUUGUAUCAUUGUCCAAACCUAAAGAGGAAGCAGGAAUAUAUUGGGGCUAUAGAGUGCGGUAUGCUUCAAAUAUCAGCUCAGUAUUUAAUGCUUGUCCGUAUGAGGGUGGCUAUGAUUAUUUGAUUGGUACUUCAGAGCAUGGUCAGAUUAUUAACUCUUCAGAGCUUUCUUUGCCAAUUUUCAGGCAUUUGUUGAUUGCUUUUGGUGGGCUCGCUGGAUUGGAAGAAAGUAUUGAGGAAGACAGUAAUUUAGAGGGUAAAAAUGUUCGAGAUGUGUUUGAUUCAUACUUGAAUACCUGUCCUCAUCAAGGAAGUCGAACAAUUCGAACAGAGGAAGCAAUUUUCAUCUCGCUUCAAUAUUUCCAAGAGCCCAUUAACCGAG